This is a long non-coding RNA of Oncorhynchus tshawytscha (Chinook salmon), 1327 nucleotides long. NCBI's taxonomy places the organism in Eukaryota, Metazoa, Chordata, Actinopteri, Salmoniformes, Salmonidae. The record is from Ensembl.
GGGAGAGAUGGAGACAGAUGCAGGGUGGAUGGACAGAGAUGUGGAGGGAGAGACCGAGGGAGCUGGAGACAGAUGCAGGGUGGAUGGACAGAGAUGUGGAGGGAGAGACCGAGGGAGAUGGAGACAGAUGCAGGGUGGAUGGACAGAGAUGUGGAGGGAGAGACCGAGAGAGAUGGAGACAGAUGCAGGGUGGCUGGACAGACAGGGGGAAGAUGGAUGGCAGCAGAGAGAGACAGGAUAGAUGGGAGUGAUGCACUACCCUAUGGACCCUGGUCAGAAGUAGUGCAUUAUAUAGGGAAUAGGGUGCCUUUUGGGACGUAGGUUCAUUCUGCUGGAAUAGAACACUAAAUCACUAAGAAUCUGUCCUGAGGCUGGGGAGGUUUCUGAUUGGAUUAGAACUGUGGCUGGGGAGGUUUCUGAUUGGAUUAGAACUGUGGCUGGGGAGGUUUCUGAUUGGAUUAGAACUGAGGCUGGAGAGGUUUCUGAUUGGAUUAGAACUGUGCUGGGGAGGUUUCUGAUUGGAUUAGAACUGUGCUGGGGAGGUUUCUGAUUGGAUUAGAACUCUGUUGGGGAGGCAGGGGCUGCUUUUCACAGACACACAUAUUUCCACACUCCCCGCUAGUGCAAACAUGCAUCAGAACAGUAACUGCGUCAUCGCUCUCAGAGACAUGUAAGGGUGUGUCACAACACAGAACCGACUGAUACUGUAUGUUAAUAUGGUAACAGGUUCUGUUCUAACUAACCAAACCAUUCAGAGAGAGGUGUCUGUCUGUGUCUGUCUGUGUCUGUCUGUGUCUGUCUGUGUCUGUCUCUCUCUCUGACUGUCUGUCUGUCUCUGACUGUCUGACUGUCUGUCUGUCUCUCUGUGUCUGUCUGUCUGUCUCUGACUGUCUGUGUCUAUCUCUGUCUGUCUGACUGUCUGUCUGACUGACUGUAAUGUUCUGUUGCCCCGUCAGGCCCACUGUAAUGUUCUGGUCCCCCGUCAGGCCCACUGUAAUGUUCUGUUGCCCCGUCAGGCCCACUGUAAUGUUCUGUUGCCCCGUCAGGCCCACUGUAAUGUUCUGUUGCCCCGUCAGGCCCACUGUAAUGUUCUGUUCCCCGUCAGGCCCACUGUAAUGUUCUGUUUCCCCGUCAGGCCCACUGUAAUGUUCUGUUGCCCCGUCAGGCCCACUGUAAUGUUCUGUUUCCCCGUCAGGCCCACUGUAAUGUUCUGUUGCCCCGUCAGGCCCACUAUAAUGUUCUGGUCCCCCGUCAGGCCCAUUAUAAUAUUCUGUUGCACCGUCAGGCCCACUAUAAUGUUCUGGUCCCCCGUCAGGCCCACUAUAAU